UACGUAGGUGGCAAGCGUUGUCCGGAAUUACUGGGCGUAAAGCGCGCGCAGGCGGUUUCUCAAGUCUGAUGUGAAAGCCCACGGCUCAACCGUGGAGGGUCAUUGGAAACUGGGGAACUUGAGUGCAGGAGAGAAGAGUGGAAUUCCACGUGUAGCGGUGAAAUGCGUAGAGAUGUGGAGGAACACCAGUGGCGAAGGCGACUCUUUGGCCUGUAACUGACACUGAGGCGCGAAAGCGUGGGGAGCAAACAGG
This 253-nucleotide ribosomal RNA is filed under the name uncultured bacterium. RNAcentral's name for it is "partial 16S ribosomal RNA". It matches the Rfam family "Bacterial small subunit ribosomal RNA", at positions 524 to 776 of the family's 1533-position model. The record is from RNAcentral.